RNAcentral lists this ribosomal RNA (497 nucleotides) under uncultured bacterium. RNAcentral describes it as "partial 16S ribosomal RNA". It matches the Rfam family "Bacterial small subunit ribosomal RNA", at positions 28 to 507 of the family's 1533-position model. The record is from RNAcentral.
GAUGAACGCUGGCGGCGUGCCUAAUACAUGCAAGUCGAGCGAACAGACGAUGAGCUUGCUCCUCUGACGUUAGCGGCGGACGGGUGAGUAACACGUGGAUAACCUACCUAUAAGACUGGGAUAACUUCGGGAAACCGGAUCUAAUACCGGAUCAUAUAUUGAACCGCAUGGUUCAAUAGUGAAAGACGGUUUUGCUGUCACUUAUAGAUGGAUCCGCGCCGCAUUAGCUAGUUGGUAAGGUAACGGCUUACCAAGGCAACGAUGCGUAGCCGACCUGAGAGGGUGAUCGGCCACACUGGAACUGAGACACGGUCCAGACUCCUACGGGAGGCAGCAGUAGGGAAUAUUCCGCAAUGGGCGAAAGCUUGACGGAGCAACGCCGCGUGGGUGAUGAAGGUCUUCGGAUCGUAAAACUCUGUUAUUAGGGAAGAACAAAUGUGUAAGUAACUAUGCACGUCUUGACGGUACCCAAUCAGAAAGCAACGGCUAACUACGUG